Non-coding RNA from Paramuricea clavata, 440 nucleotides. Lineage: Eukaryota; Metazoa; Cnidaria; Anthozoa; Malacalcyonacea; Plexauridae. The record is from the annotation of a GenBank genome assembly.
CUUGUCUCCAAUGCUAGUAAUAAUUGCACAGAAAAAGAUUUAGUAAAACCUAUCAUUAAAAGAUUUAGUAAAACCUAUCAAGUUUACUAUGUUAUUGUUUAGUCGGUUUAAAUGUUAGAAUUUUCUUCUUUAAACUUUAAUGUUGUCGUCACUACAUCUGGAAAACUACGUAAGAACAAAUUAAAAGUAUUUUAAAAGAGACCAGGUUGUUUGAAAAUCCUAAACGAAUGCUAAAAUUCGUCAAAACAUUCUGGUGUCUGAGCCAGAGUGUCAUCGAAUUGCGAUGUAAUGUAAACAGAAAUUAUAGCAAGUUGAUGUCAGUCAGCUUAGAUGGUCCAAGCCAAAAUUAUAUCGCAUUUGAAGUUUCAAACUGAGUUAAAAAUAGUGGAAGAAAAGCCGUAAUUAUACUUAUUGUUACAAUCCAUUUAAUAAAAUGCAAC